RNAcentral lists this ribosomal RNA (440 nucleotides) under uncultured bacterium. Its description in RNAcentral is "bacterial SSU rRNA". It matches the Rfam family "Bacterial small subunit ribosomal RNA", at positions 338 to 792 of the family's 1533-position model. The record is from RNAcentral.
CCUACGGGGGGCAGCAGUGGGGAAUUUUCCGCAAUGGGCGAAAGCCUGACGGAGCAAUACCGCGUGAGGGAGGAAGGCUCUUGGGUUGUAAACCUCUUUUCUCAGGGAAGAACACAAUGACGGUACCUGAGGAAUCAGCAUCGGCUAACUCCGUGCCAGCAGCCGCGGUAAUACGGAGGAUGCAAGCGUUAUCCGGAAUGAUUGGGCGUAAAGCGUCCGCAGGUGGCAUUUCAAGUCGAUUGUCAAAAAUCCUGGCUCAACUGGGAAGAGGCAGUGGAAACUGAAAUGCUAGAGUGCGGUAGGGGUAGAGGGAAUUCCCGGUGUAGCGGUGAAAUGCGUAGAGAUCGGGAAGAACACCAGUGGCGAAAGCGCUCUACUAGGCCUGCACUGACACUCAGGGACGAAAGCUAGGGGAGCGAAUGGGAUUAGAUACCCCUGUA